GUGGGGAAUAUUGGACAAUGGGCGAAAGCCUGAUCCAGCCAUGCCGCGUGUGUGAAGAAGGUCUUCGGAUUGUAAAGCACUUUAAGUUGGGAGGAAGGGCAGUAAGUUAAUACCUUGCUGUUUUGACGUUACCGACAGAAUAAGCACCGGCUAACUUCGUGCCAGCAGCCGCGGUAAUACGAAGGGUGCAAGCGUUAAUCGGAAUUACUGGGCGUAAAGCGCGCGUAGGUGGUUUUGUAAGUUGGAGGUGAAAUCCCCGGGCUCAACCUGGGAACUGCCUCCAAAACUGCAUGACUAGAGUACGGUAGAGGGUAGUGGAAUUUCCUGUGUAGCGGUGAAAUGCGUAGAUAUAGGAAGGAACACUAGUGGCGAAGGCGACUACCUGGACUGAUACUGACACUGAGGUGCGAAAGCGUGGGGAGCAAACAGGAUUAGAUACCCGAGUAGUCC
Molecule: ribosomal RNA, 450 nt
Filed under: uncultured bacterium
Lineage: Bacteria
Description: partial 16S ribosomal RNA
Rfam family: Bacterial small subunit ribosomal RNA
Source: RNAcentral